GCAGUGUGGUGCUGUGGGGAGAGUCCGAAGACCUGAGUUACCUCUGAGCCUGAGCCUGCUUAUGCCUGAUGAGCUAUUACGGAGCCAGAGAGUGUGAUGAGGCAUCAGAGGCAAUUACCUGCAGGUCUUGUGAUAGGCUCCAUGCCAUUCAACUAGGAUUCAGCCAAUCCACAGGGCAACAACAAAGCUGAGUGAACUCUGGGGCGAGCCCCUCGCUACGCAGCACUGACAAAGCUGAAAUCACUCUAGCUGGAGCAUCCACACCAGACCAGGCAGAGUUCCCCUACGGGCUGGAGCUGGACCUGCCUGAACGCCCUCCUAGACCUUGGGACUUUGCUAACUACUGACAACAAACUGUAGUGAAGGAGCAAGCAGACCCACUGGCUGGCUGCAUCUGGUUCCCAUGUGUAAGUCCCCGUUCGCAGAAAGCCUUCUGACAAAGACAAGCCGCAUAAUAUGGUUCCAG
This is a long non-coding RNA of Mauremys reevesii (Reeves's turtle), 466 nucleotides long. RefSeq lists it as uncharacterized. The transcript is spliced from 3 exons. The record is from RefSeq and is a predicted model, not a curated record. NCBI's taxonomy places the organism in Eukaryota, Metazoa, Chordata, Testudines, Geoemydidae.